GAUGAAGAACGUAGCGAAAUGCGAUAACUAAUGUGAAUCGCAGAAUUCCGUGAAUCAUCGAGUCUUUGAACGCACAUUGCGCCCCCUGGUAUUCCGGGGGGCAUGCCUGUCCGAGCGUCAUUACAACCCUCAAGCCCGGCUUGUGUAAUGGGCGGCCGUCUCUCCCCCCGGGGGGAGACGCCCCCGAAACUCAGUGGGGAUGUCGCGAUACCGAAGCCUCAGCUAAUGGGUAAACCACAGCUGCAAUGGCCGCGGCCGGCGUCCGCCUUCCACGGUCCGUCCGCCUAGCGCGGGCGGCCUUCUCAAGGUUGACCUCGGAUCAGGUAGGGAUACCCGCUGAACUUAAGCAUAUCAAUAAGCGGAGGA
Molecule: unclassified non-coding RNA, 366 nt
Filed under: soil metagenome
Description: partial contains 5.8S ribosomal RNA, internal transcribed spacer 2, and large subunit ribosomal RNA
Rfam family: 5.8S ribosomal RNA (bases 1-120)
Source: RNAcentral